This 381-nucleotide ribosomal RNA is filed under the name uncultured eukaryote. RNAcentral describes it as "partial 18S ribosomal RNA". It matches the Rfam family "Eukaryotic small subunit ribosomal RNA", at positions 592 to 976 of the family's 1831-position model. The record is from RNAcentral.
CAAUAGCGUAUAUUUAAGUUGUUGCAGUUAAAAAGCUCGUAGUUGGAUUUCUGUCAAGGACAACUGGUCCGCCCCUCGGGUGAGCACAUAGUUUGGUCUUGGCAUCUUGUUGGAAACUGUUGCUGCACUUGGUUGUGUGGCGCAGUGUCCAGCACUUUCACUUUGAGGAAAUUGGAGUGUUUCAAGCAGGCACAUGCCUUUGGACACAGUAGCAUGGAAUAAUUAGAUUGGGCUUUUGCUCCAACUUGUCGGUUUCUGGAGCUGAGGUGAGAAUUAAUGGGGAUUGUUGGGGGCAUCCGAAUUUAGCCGUCAGAGGUGAAAUUCUUGGAUCUGCUAAAGACGGACAACUGCGAAAGCGUUUGCCCAGGAUGUUUUCAUUGA